UAAAUAGUAUGAUAUUCUUGCAUAAUACUACAGGGAAAUUGCUCCGUUGUCUCUUAUUUUACAGGUUUCAUUUUCUUUUUGUUUUCUUUCUAUUUAACUCAAUAUCUUCUUCUUCUUUUUUUCCAAUUUACCUUCUCAUCCUUCACCAAUUAUCACACUAAAUUUAUGCUUCUAAAAAGAGUUAUAAUUUUUUUUUCUUUUAGUAACUCCACAUAUCAUUUUAACACUGCAUGCUCCCCAUCCUUUGCAAAUAAGAAUAAUGCAAAAUAUGGUGUGUUAGUAAUGCUUGUGUUAGCUAUGUUUGCAUUAUUUAUGCUUGUAUUUUUCUUAUGCAGUGUUUGAUUUGAUGUAUUAAAAAUAACAUGAAUUAAAUAAUUUCUAAUUUUUUUUAAAUUUUUACAAAAAUAUCCUCCCUAUAUAUAUUGGAAAGGAUGUGAAAUUUUUUUUUAGCGAUAAUGGUGUCUUUAAUCAUGUUAAUGCAUGUAUUGGAUCCAUUGCAUUGCUAAUACCAUGGAUUUUGAGGUAUUAUUAAUACACACUUCAAUACAUAAUUGAGUGUAUAAGCAUUAGUUAUACAUAGAGUGCAAAAAUAUACCAAACAAGUUAUUAAUAAUACACAUUAAACUAAUGCAUCUUAGUACUUUUAAAGUUUUCUUUUUCUUCUCUCCCUUCGUUUUUCUUUUUAUUUGUUUCCAUUUAAUUUAAUGUUUUCUUGCUUUAUUUUACAGUUUGCCUCAUUUGACUUAUUGAGAAGACGAAAGAAGUCACGGAUCAUCAGCUGGACAAAUGCACAGUUAGUUAAUAAUGAACUCACUUCACAAAGUUAGUUAAUAGGAUCACAGUUAAUUGAUCAGUGGAGCUAACUCACCUACCACUAAUCCACCAGCUAAUCCACUAGUACUAACUCUAUAUAUACUCGUCUAUACUCAUUUAAUCGUCAUGAUGAAUAAUACUAAUCACUUGACAACUACAUUGUUCUCUCCUUUCUCUCUCUUCUUCUCUCAUUCUCUAUCACUUCUUCAUCAUCAACUACUCUACAUUUCUCAGUUUCUGAGUUUCUCUGUAGGUGUUCUUAGCUGCUCAUUUAGCCUAAUGCAUCUCCAACUCGUUCCCACUAUACCAUGGACACCCGAAGCUGAUAUACCACAUAAAUUUUAGAGGUGUCUAGAUGAUCAUUUUGUUAGUUGACGUGUUCUGCAGAUAGUGGAACGAGUUGAGGUGUUCAGAUAUACAUUCAUAAAGUUGACGUACUUAAAUGCCAGCUAAGACCAUGUUUGAGUGUUUGUUUAUAUAUUACUAUUUAUAUAUUAUUUCAAGUUCAAACCAUUUUUUGCCAUAUAGAUUUGUGCUAUAUUUAGUUUUCUAAUGUAGUCAUUGACUUUUUGUUGUUUGUAUGUCAGGUAAGAGCAUUGACCAAAGAUCACAAAAUCUCAGAAAAUUAAGGAUCGAACUACAAUAUCAAAAUGGUUCUUGCACCACUGGCGGACUGUAUGCAUCUUAAAUGCUUAUUAUUAGUUUUACUGGUGAGAGGUAGUAGGUAUCCUAAGAAAUUAGUCAAAAGGUAUGCAAACUGGUGUAGAUAUUACAAUUAUCAAAAACAGGCAAGAUAUAGGAAAAGAAUAUAAAUAUGUAUGUAGAACCUUGAGUAUGGUCCUAUAUAUAUCAAAAUAAAUGGAAGUGACAAUUAUGAGGCAAAACUUGUACUUUGCACACACUAACAGUUGAUCUUUCUACAUUUUUAUCCUUUUAUUUUGUGGAUGAAGUAAUAGUCGAAUUUUUAAUUUUUUAUAACUGUUGUGAGUAUUGAGUUAAGAAACGGCAGUUUGGUGCACUAAAGUGCCCUGCGAUGUGCAUUAUUCGGGGAAGGGUUGGACCAUAAGAGUCUAUUGUAUGCAAUCUUACCUUGCAUUUCUGCCAAAGACUAUCUCUACAACUUGAAUCCAUGACCUCCUAAUCACACGACAACAACUUUACCAGCUAUUCUAAAGGCUUCCCUUCUGUUGAGUAUGUUGAGAAAUGAUUCCAGAAGAUACUUGACCAAGUCUACAGGAAGUUAGUUGCUAGUUAGUUUCCUUUAUUCUAGCAAUUUUAGAUAGUGUUGUAGAUUAGUAGCUAGUCAAUAAAUCAGUGGGUUAGUGGACCUAAAUUUUAGAGUUUUCAGUUUAGUUGUGAGCCGAUUUAAAGGCAGGUCU
Molecule: long non-coding RNA, 2192 nt
Filed under: Capsicum annuum
Lineage: Eukaryota; Viridiplantae; Streptophyta; Magnoliopsida; Solanales; Solanaceae
Description: long non-coding RNA (CANN_LNC016370)
Source: RNAcentral